This 348-nucleotide unclassified non-coding RNA is filed under the name soil metagenome. Its description in RNAcentral is "partial contains 5.8S ribosomal RNA, internal transcribed spacer 2, and large subunit ribosomal RNA". The stretch from base 1 to 120 matches the Rfam family "5.8S ribosomal RNA", at positions 35 to 154 of the family's 154-position model. The record is from RNAcentral.
GAUGAAGAACGCAACAAAAUGCGAUAAGUAAUGUGAAUUGCAGAAUUCAGUGAAUCAUCGAAUCUUUGAACGCACAUUGCGCCCGCUGGUAUUCCGGCGGGCAUGCCUUUUCGAGCGUCAUUUCAACCCUCAAGCCCCCGGGUUUGGUGUUGGGGAUCGGCUCUGCCCUUCUGGGCGGUGCCGCCCCCGAAAUACAUUGGCGGUCUCGCUGCAGCCUCCAUUGCGUAGUAGCUAACACCUCGCAACUGGAACGCGGCGCGGCCAUGCCGUAAAACCCCAACUUCUGAAUGUUGACCUCGGAUCAGGUAGGAAUACCCGCUGAACUUAAGCAUAUCAAUAAGCGGAGGA